GAUGAACGCUGGCGGCGUGCCUAAUACAUGCAAGUCGAGCGAACAGACGAGGAGCUUGCUCCUCUGACGUUAGCGGCGGACGGGUGAGUAACACGUGGAUAACCUACCUAUAAGACUGGGAUAACUUCGGGAAACCGUAGCUAAUACCGGAUAAUAUAUUGAACCGCAUGGUUCAAUAGUGAAAGACGGUCUUGCUGUCACUUAUAGAUGGAUCCGCGCUGCAUUAGCUAGUUGGUAAGGUAACGGCUUACCAAGGCAACGAUGCGUAGCCGACCUGAGAGGGUGAUCGGCCACACUGGAACUGAGACACGGUCCAGACUCCUACGGGAGGCAGCAGUAGGGAAUCUUCCGCAAUGGGCGAAAGCCUGACGGAGCAACGCCGCGUGAGUGAUGAAGGUCUUCGGAUCGUAAAACUCUGUUAUUAGGGAAGAACAAAUGUGUAAGUAACUGUGCACAUCUUGACGGUACCUAAUCAGAAAGCCACGGCUAACUACGUG
This 497-nucleotide ribosomal RNA is filed under the name uncultured bacterium. RNAcentral describes it as "partial 16S ribosomal RNA". It matches the Rfam family "Bacterial small subunit ribosomal RNA", at positions 28 to 507 of the family's 1533-position model. The record is from RNAcentral.